AAUGGACGAAAGUCUGACCGAGCAACGCCGCGUGAGUGAAGAAGGUUUUCGGAUCGUAAAACUCUGUUGUUAGAGAAGAACAAGGAUGAGAGUAACUGUUCAUCCCUUGACGGUAUCUAACCAGAAAGCCACGGCUAACUACGUGCCAGCAGCCGCGGUAAUACGUAGGUGGCAAGCGUUGUCCGGAUUUAUUGGGCGUAAAGCGAGCGCAGGCGGUUUCUUAAGUCUGAUGUGAAAGCCCCCGGCUCAACCGGGGAGGGUCAUUGGAAACUGGGAGACUUGAGUGCAGAAGAGGAGAGUGGAAUUCCAUGUGUAGCGGUGAAAUGCGUAGAUAUAUGGAGGAACACCAGUGGCGAAGGCGGCUCUCUGGUCUGUAACUGACGCUGAGGCUCGAAAGCGUGGGGAGCAAACAGGAUUAGAUACCCUGGUAGUCCACGCCGUAAACGAUGAGUGCUAAGUGUCGGAGGGNCUCCGCCCUUCAGUGCUGCAGCUAACGCAUCAAGCACUCCGCCUGG
Molecule: ribosomal RNA, 515 nt
Filed under: bacterium E-2-48-1D
Lineage: Bacteria
Description: bacterial SSU rRNA
Rfam family: Bacterial small subunit ribosomal RNA
Source: RNAcentral